UGACGGAAUGGGAGCGCACAUCACAAUGGGUGGGGCCUCUUCCAAGUCCUCCUGGGAGUCCAUGCAUGGUCCCAAGGCAUGGGGCAGAGGCCCCUCCAUCCCAGCCGAACAAGCCCAGGAUCAGGACUGACAGGUUCUCCAUGACAACCUGCAACAAGGACAAACGAGGAAGCAAGGAUCCCACGGCCGACGGGUGGGGCACCAGCACUGAAGCCAAGGUCGUGGGACGACUCCAGACUCCCGAGUCUUUCCCAGGGCCACCUGGCCUCCCCGAGGCUGCUCCUGGAAUCUGGCCUCUCUCCCCGAGCCUGGACGCCGGUCCUGCCUCACUUCUGCUCACUAAUGCACUCUCUGCCUCCUCCUCCUUUUAGAUGCACUGGCUCAACCAUGCCCUUGGCGAUUCCCUAUAAAGAUAAGAGCACAUUUCUACA
Oryctolagus cuniculus (rabbit) is the source of this 431-nucleotide non-coding RNA. The record is from RefSeq and is a predicted model, not a curated record. Lineage: Eukaryota; Metazoa; Chordata; Mammalia; Lagomorpha; Leporidae.